AUUGAACGCUGGCGGCAGGCCUAACACAUGCCAGUCGAGCGGAUGAAGGGAGCUUGCUCCUGGAUUCAGCGGCGGACGGGUGAGUAAUGCCUAGGAAUCUGCCUGGUAGUGGGGGAUAACGUCCGGAAACGGGCGCUAAUACCGCAUACGUCCUGAGGGAGAAAGUGGGGGAUCUUCGGACCUCACGCUAUCAGAUGAGCCUAGGUCGGAUUAGCUAGUUGGUGGGGUAAAGGCCUACCAAGGCGACGAUCCGUAACUGGUCUGAGAGGAUGAUCAGUCACACUGGAACUGAGACACGGUCCAGACUCCUACGGGAGGCAGCAGUGGGGAAUAUUGGACAAUGCGAAAGCCUGAUCCAGCCAUGCCGCGUGUGUGAAGAAGGUCUUCGGAUUGUAAAGCACUUUAAGUUGGGAGGAAGGGCAGUAAGUUAAUACCUUGCUGUUUUGACGUUACCAACAGAAUAAGCACCGGCUAACUUCGUG
Molecule: ribosomal RNA, 482 nt
Filed under: uncultured bacterium
Lineage: Bacteria
Description: partial 16S ribosomal RNA
Rfam family: Bacterial small subunit ribosomal RNA
Source: RNAcentral